AGUGGGCAAAAUGGUAGCAGCUGGCAGCUUCUGCUUCAGAUAAAUAGAUCUCAGCAGUAACAACCUGAAUUUGCCUGUCUCUCCAGACUUCAGAUCUGCUUGUUUGCCCUGCAACCUCAGUUCUUUGAUGGAUCCAAGAAAAGGCCUUGAUUUUUGGCUUAAGAUUUUUCUUAUUGUAAGAAGAGAAGUGAUGACUUCUAAGCUGUUUACACUGAGGGCCUAAAACCAGAGAAGGCCUGCUAAGAUGGAAGCAGAAGAGAGCAAGCUAGCUCUCAGGGACUGGGGUGGAAAUGAGUGCUCUGCAAGAACUUCAGAGUGUUCAGCCUUCCAAAGUCUGUGAAUGCAUUCUAAGAGUGGCUGUGGCUUGGCUUCUUUUUUCUCUUAUAGAAUUUGACAAGCUGAUUCUAAAAUGUAUACAGAAAAAGCAAACGUCUAAGAACUUCCAUUCCUUUCAUCAUGGCACAAUGAUAAAAACCUUAGACCGGCAGGAAAGCCACGUGAAUUCAGACCAUUAAUGUGCCAGUUACUUCAACGAACUGAUGGCUCUCAACUUGCUCAUCUAUGAACUGGAUGAAUUGAAACAGAUGACCUUUAUACCUUUCCUCUCGAAUAUUCUUCAUAGCAUUUUGUAACUCAACCUUAUGUUGCAUGGCAAAAUGUAGCUUUAUUAUGUUUAAACAAUAACAUGAACAAAAAAAGUGAGUUGGAUACUAUUAUCCCUUUUGGUCUAUUUUAUUUUUAAUACAAUUUGAUCUGUUUUGACCUAAGGAAUAUGUAUGAUUUGGAAAUAAAAAUACAGUUGGGGAUAAGAUGAUUCUAAAGAUGCCAUGAUUUCCUGAAAUAAAAAUGAUUUUUUGUUGAGGUUUUGAGAAAUAAGGAAUAUUUCCUAAACUAUUUUUGGAAUAUCUAAUAGUAGAAACAAAAGCACCUUAAAAACUUCAAACCCUUCUUUAUUUAUUUACUACAUUAGAAUUCUACACUGCACCUAAAUUGAAGUGCACGCCGGAGCCUGAAAUCAGGUUUCGCUCCUGCUUUCUCAACAGAAUGGCAAUCCCUCGGGAGCGUUUUCCUCUCACUGAGCUACAUCUCAAUCAGCAGACAAUUCACCGAGGAGACUCAGUUUGAAUUCUUGCUUCAUCUAGUCACACUCAAUUGAACAUAGAGGCCUGUGAUCAUUAAAGGCCGCUGCUUUCUCCUGACA
This 1201-nucleotide long non-coding RNA is filed under the name Equus asinus (donkey). RNAcentral describes it as "lncRNA (ENSEASG00005037761.1)". The record is from RNAcentral. Lineage: Eukaryota; Metazoa; Chordata; Mammalia; Perissodactyla; Equidae.